GACGAACGCUGGCGGCGUGCCUAAUACGUGCAAGUCGAACGAGAGCGACCGGUGCUUGCACUGGUCAAUCUAGUGGCGAACGGGUGAGUAACACGUGGGUAACCUGCCCAUCAGAGGGGGAUAACAUCCGGAAACGGAUGCUAAAACCGCAUAGGUCUUCGAGCCGCAUGGCUUGAAGAGGAAAAGAGGCGCAAGCUUCUGCUGAUGGAUGGACCCGCGGUGCAUUAGCUAGUUGGUGAGGUAACGGCUCACCAAGGCCGUGAUGCAUAGCCGACCUGAGAGGGUGAUCGGCCACAUUGGGACUGAGACACGGCCCAAACUCCUACGGGAGGCAGCAGUAGGGAAUCUUCCGCAAUGGACGCAAGUCUGACGGAGCAACGCCGCGUGAGUGAAGAAGGUUUUCGGAUCGUAAAACUCUGUUGUUAGAGAAGAACAAGUGCUAGAGUAACUGUUAGCGCCUUGACGGUAUCUAACCAGAAAGCCACGGCUAACUACGUG
This 498-nucleotide ribosomal RNA is filed under the name uncultured bacterium. Its description in RNAcentral is "partial 16S ribosomal RNA". It matches the Rfam family "Bacterial small subunit ribosomal RNA", at positions 28 to 507 of the family's 1533-position model. The record is from RNAcentral.